RNAcentral lists this ribosomal RNA (495 nucleotides) under uncultured Massilia sp. RNAcentral describes it as "partial 16S ribosomal RNA". Lineage: Bacteria; Pseudomonadati; Pseudomonadota; Betaproteobacteria; Burkholderiales; Oxalobacteraceae. The record is from RNAcentral.
CACGUAGUUAGCCGGUGCUUAUUCUUCAGGUACCGUCAUUAGCGGGAGAUAUUAGCUCCCACCGUUUCUUCCCUGACAAAAGAGCUUUACAACCCGAAGGCCUUCUUCACUCACGCGGCAUUGCUGGAUCAGGCUUGCGCCCAUUGUCCAAAAUUCCCCACUGCUGCCUCCCGUAGGAGUCUGGACCGUGUCUCAGUUCCAGUGUGGCUGGUCGUCCUCUCAGACCAGCUACUGAUCGUAGCCUUGGUAGGCCUUUACCCUACCAACUAGCUAAUCAGAUAUCGGCCGCUCCAGGAGCAUGAGGUCUUGCGAUCCCCCACUUUCAUCCAUAGAUCGUAUGCGGUAUUAGCGUAACUUUCGCUACGUUAUCCCCCACUCUUGGGUACGUUCCGAUAUAUUACUCACCCGUUCGCCACUCGCCGCCAGGUUGCCCCGCGCUGCCGUUCGACUUGCAUGUGUAAAGCAUGCCGCCAGCGUUCAAUCUGAGCCAGGAUA